UACAGAGGUGCUCAAGCGUUUGUUCGGAUUCAUUGGGGCGUAAAGGGUGCGUAGGUGGCGAGGUUAGUCAGGUGUGAAAUCUCGGGGCUCAACCCCGAAACUGCACUUGAUACUGCCUUGCUAGAGUACUGGAGAGGAGAUUGGAAUUUACGGUGUAGCAGUGAAAUGCGUAGAUAUCGUAAGGAAGACCAGUGGCGAAGGCGAAUCUCUGGACAGUUACUGACACUGAGGCAACGAAGGCCAGGGGAGCAAACGGG
Molecule: ribosomal RNA, 257 nt
Filed under: uncultured bacterium
Lineage: Bacteria
Description: partial 16S ribosomal RNA
Rfam family: Bacterial small subunit ribosomal RNA
Source: RNAcentral